RNAcentral lists this ribosomal RNA (372 nucleotides) under uncultured bacterium. RNAcentral's name for it is "bacterial SSU rRNA". It matches the Rfam family "Bacterial small subunit ribosomal RNA", at positions 524 to 898 of the family's 1533-position model. The record is from RNAcentral.
UACGGAGGACCCGAGCGUUAUCCGGAUUUAUUGGGUUUAAAGGGUGCGUAGGCGGAUUAGUAAGUUAGAGGUGAAAGCUCGAUGCUCAACAUCGAAAUUGCCUCUGAUACUGUUAGUCUAGAGUAUAGUUGCGGAAGGCGGAAUGUGUGGUGUAGCGGUGAAAUGCUUAGAUAUCACACAGAACACCGAUUGCGAAGGCAGCUUUCCAAGCUAUUACUGACGCUGAUGCACGAAAGCGUGGGGAGCGAACAGGAUUAGAUACCCUGGUAGUCCACGCCGUAAACGAUGAUAACUCGUUGCAGGCGAUACACAGUCUGUGACUUAGCGAAAGCGUUAAGUUAUCCACCUGGGGAGUACGUUCGCAAGAAUGAA